Molecule: long non-coding RNA, 3504 nt
Organism: Mercenaria mercenaria
Lineage: Eukaryota; Metazoa; Mollusca; Bivalvia; Venerida; Veneridae
Exons: 3
Source: RefSeq, a predicted model, not a curated record
UAUCUUUCAGAUCAAAAUUCGACUUCGCAUUUGAAGAAGCAGUUUGGAAAUUAUUCAAGUGUAAAAUACAUACUUUUGAUCCAAGCUUAUCUAUUAAGCAAUCACUGAUACCUUCGUUUGUAAAUUUCAACCUCAUUGGACUAUCUGGAAGAGAUAAUAAUUACACAGCACCAGAAAACAGGAGAGGGCAUAAUAGACUACUGCGAAAAACAUGGGUAAUGCAAAGGCUGUCUACAAUUCAAAGAUUUCUUUCUCAUGAACACAAAAAUAUCGAUAUACUUAAGAUGGACAUAGAAGGAUGGGAAUGGGACGCCUUGCCUGAUAUGCUAAAUGUGGGAGUUUUAAGUAAAGUUAAACAACUUUGCCUUGAAGUACAUUUUGGAUUCAGUUUUACCCGUGUAGUUGAAAACAAAAAAGCCACUUGGAAGUUUACGUCAAAUACGUGGGGCGAUGUUCCGAUAAAGAAUCAAAUCAAGACAUUGAAACGUUUACAUGAUGCUGGCUUUAGAAUAUUCAAUUUUCAACCAUUCAAAUGGGGAUCACUCUAUGUCCAAGACAGAACUAUAAGUACUCUUAAUGAGUUAUCGUUAAUAAAUAUAAAUUACAGUGAAUAGUUAUACUAUGAACCAUUUCAGGUAAAGUAGUUUUCUUGGUUUUGAACAAAAGUUUUUCUACCUUAAAGAUAUGUAUUGAUGAAUCAUUUUAAAUAGCGUGUCUAAAUAUUCGAAACUAGAAAAGUCACAUUCGUUUUAUUUAUAUGUUUCUAAUAUGAAACUCAAGACUAUAAGAUUCUUUCACUGGUUGUAGGUGCAGAUGGAAAUAUCCGGCCUCGAGGGUAACUGUUUAGGCGGUAACAAGGCUCCCUGCCGAGUUACCGCCUAAACAGUUACCCGAGAGCCGGAUAUUCCCAUCUGCACCUAUAACCAGUGACAGAAUCUUUUUCUUGCAUACCGAUUUCAAGAAAUAAUAAUAAAAAUAAAAUCAAUCAAACGGCUUUCUGUUUAGAACUAUUUCUUAUAGCAGUGUAUUUAAACAAAGCGAGGGAAAAGAACGUCCGUAAACAGGAAAGACGUCAUAACGUUUCAAAACAAAUAACAAUGUUUAGUUCCGGUUUUGUUUUAUCAGCUGCACCGUAACGUUAUGGAUUUUUUAUAAAAUAACGUGAUUUGAAUCGAGAAUUAUACUAUCAGGAACCAAUAGGAACUGUCAAGGUAUUGAAUUUUUAUUCCGUUUUUAAAAUAAAAUAUAAAUUACUACAUAAAUCCUCUACAUAUAUGUAGUUCGCAAUGCGUCAUUUAAAGCACGAGAGUCAUCUUACACCCCGGGGUGUAAGAUGGAUUUUCCAGCACCGGUAAAAUACCGGAAAUCCCCGUCUGGUAUGCAAGAAAAUGUGUGCAAGAAAAUGUGUACGACUUAAUUGAUAGACUUAAAGAAAUAUCAACAUACAUACAUCGGCAAUGGCAUAUAAUCACAAUUAUGUAUACGAUUAGACAUUACUUGUUUGUAAUAUUGAGUAAGACUUAGUAUAAAGUAUUUCACGAAGUUGGGAAUGUACUGUCUGUUAUUACUUAUACGGGGUAAUGGACGACGCUUUAUCAAGGAGUGAAAAAUAUAAAAGAAAAUAGUUAUGAAGAAUGUUUGCUGUUAGUUUACUGAGAAAGGCAAAUGCUAUGUAUAACAUUAACUACUAACAAAAAUAGCAGUUCUUUACAAAUGCAAAGGGUUUUGGCGAAUACUUGGAAAACAUUUGUUAUGAUAUGUUAUAAAAUUCUUUAAGGAUCAUGGAGACCAUUCAAUUUACCUUAAAUCAGCUACAAGUCAACUUUCAAUACCAUUUCUCAGGUGAAAAGGAACUUUUUUCUUAAUUUGGCUGGUAGUUUAAGGACCAAGAAGAUUUGUGAAACUGGAUUAUUUUUAAAAAUUCGCACGGGAUAUAUCGUGUCCAACCGGAUUUAUUAAAAUACUAUCUGAUAUUUUCUCAUACUUCGGUUAGGUGGAUAUUUUUGCAAGCGGAAUUCUUAUCAUAGAUGUUACUGGAAAUAUUUAAUUUAGUUCUGUGUUGUACUAAAAAUUUUGUCUUUGUUUGAAAUCAAUUAUGAUAAAGCAAAUCUGAUUCAUAAACAUGAAAAAAAAAUAUUUUGGAUAUUUUCAGAAAGAAUCAUCAGGUUUAAAGUAAGAGAUUAUAAAUAAGAUUAAUAAACACUCUUUCAUACAAACUGGUAAAGAUAAUGCCUUUUGGGCAAUCCAACACACUUUUUUCUCAAAAACACAAAAUAAACAUCAAUUUGAUGUUUGUUCAAAGUGGUACGUAGGAUUUGGGCCAAUUUUGGCCCCCACCAAAAUGAUGACAAAUUAUAUGCCAUUUUGUUUACCAAAAUGCAUGUAUUUACCAAAAAUGAACAUAAAAGUCUGCAAGGACAAUUGUUUACGGACAAGGACUUCCGUAAGUACUUAAUUACAUAUACCAUCAAAAUACAUACUUAAGAUUAUUUCUUAAAGUCAAAUUUUCAAUAUUUGUUUCAUAAAACGAUGAUUUUUGCUCUAAAUAGAAUUACGUACCCUGUUAUUACACAUAUAAAAGAUAUUCUGCUUUAUACAACAUUGUUCCCCCUGUGCGUCAAAACCAUUUUUGGCCAGCAUAUGUAGAUAUUAAUAAUACACAUUUUCUGUGACUAUUGUGUUGAUGCAAGGGGUGGAACAGUACUAUUAAAAAUAGAUAUAACUACAGGGUGUUCCCAAAUGUAAAGUAACCAAUACUUUUUGUAUUCAUUUUUAAUAAUUUGAUUGUCACAUAUAUUUACGUCUGUUUGUAAUUCAAAUACUAUACAAAUGUUUGAAAUGGUACACAUAGGCAUAUUAUACAUGUACAGUAGUUAGAGAAGCAAAUACUGUGAAUUCAUUAUUAUUCGUUGGGUUAAAUUUUCAUUGGCUUAUCCUGGUUGUUUGUUUCAGUAGAUUGGCAAAUGUGUGCUGUAAAAUACUAGAAACACACCAGGUAAUCUUCUGCAUGCCCUCCUCACGACGCGCACGCCACUAGCGAUGAGGAUUUUAUUUGUUUUCCAUUCUGUUUUUAUUAUUUUUCGUAUUUUUUAUAUAUUUUUUCAUUUCUUUAUUUUUUCAUCUUCUUCUGUGCGUUUAUAUUUAUUUCUUUUAGACACAAACUAAAUGUCACACGCAUUCAUUUCUUCAUGUUCUUCCUUCUGUGAAGACUGAAUAAUUUUGAAGAUUGUUCUUUGCGGCGGACUAGGCCUAAACACCACAAAAAGAGGCAAUAUGUGCACAGCAGAUAAUCUGAUCCUGACUAUAGUCUAUUCAACAGAAAUAACGCUUGGCAUUGAUAUGCCUGUGAUGCAUAGGUCAAGAACAGUAGUUACUUGGCAGGUCAGGUCAGUGAUGGUUUCACAUUCAGUGUGAUGCCAUGAAAGUGAUGUGUCAAGUCGCUUUCCAUGCAGAUGGCAUAUACAAAUACGGUUAGACGCGAAAACGAACUAAAAGGUCCAGCCG